GCUGAGAUAGCUUAGUUGGUUGAGCAUGAGACUCUGAAUCUCAAGGUUGUGGGUUCGAGUCCCACAUUGGGCA
This is a non-coding RNA of Podarcis muralis (Common wall lizard), 73 nucleotides long. NCBI's taxonomy places the organism in Eukaryota, Metazoa, Chordata, Lepidosauria, Squamata, Lacertidae. The record is from the annotation of a RefSeq genome assembly.